Molecule: ribosomal RNA, 426 nt
Filed under: uncultured bacterium
Lineage: Bacteria
Description: bacterial SSU rRNA
Rfam family: Bacterial small subunit ribosomal RNA
Source: RNAcentral
GGCCAGCAGCCGCGGUAAUACGGAGGGUGCAAGCGUUGUCCGGAUUUAUUGGGCGUAAAGGGCGCGUAGGCGGCCAUGUAAGUCGGAUGUGAAAUCCCACGGCUCAACUGUGGAAUUGCGUUCGAAACUGUGUGGCUUGAGUUCGGGAGAGGGAAGUGGAAUUCCCAGUGUAGAGGUGAAAUUCGUAGAUAUUGGGAGGAACACCAGUGGCGAAGGCGGCUUCCUGGACCGAAACUGACGCUGAGGCGCGAAAGCGUGGGUAGCAAACAGGAUUAGAUACCCUGGUAGUCCACGCUGUAAACGAUGGAUACUAGGUGCUGCGGGUAUUGACCCCUGCGGCGCCGGAGCUAACGUAUUAAGUAUCCCGCCUGGGGAGUACGGCCGCAAGGCUAAAACUCAAAGGAAUUGACGGGGGCCCGCACAAGU